GGCCUUAUGGCGCAACGGCUAGCGCGUUCGCCUCCAGAGCGAAAGGUUAUCCGUUCAAAUCGGGUUAGGGUCA
This is a non-coding RNA of Coniochaeta sp. 2T2.1, 73 nucleotides long. Lineage: Eukaryota; Fungi; Ascomycota; Sordariomycetes; Coniochaetales; Coniochaetaceae. The record is from the annotation of a GenBank genome assembly.